RNAcentral lists this long non-coding RNA (371 nucleotides) under Sarcophilus harrisii (Tasmanian devil). Its description in RNAcentral is "lncRNA (ENSSHAG00000021971.1)". Lineage: Eukaryota; Metazoa; Chordata; Mammalia; Dasyuromorphia; Dasyuridae. The record is from RNAcentral.
GUGCAGAGGAAUAAUUGACACAGAAGCAUUAGAGGAGGAGGAGAGCUGGUAGUUCUGAAUAUCUACUCACAUUGGAAAUGGGUUUAAUAGACAACACACAUAUAUACCAUGAAGGUGACUGAACAGUAAUGCUGAGGUCAACUGGUUCAGUUUCAGAGGCAACUUUGUGAAUCUGAGAGAUUGGAGAUUAUAAGUCCCUUCAUCAAAGCUGAUUGGUGCCAGGAAGAAUUGCUGUAUAGACGGGAUCCCAACAAAAAGGACUUGUGGGAGAGAGGGAAGAGCAAUUAUUGGUAGAAGAGAAGAACAGGAAUAGAACAUUUUACUCCCUAACAGGUUCUCUUUUGUUUAUUUUAAUACUUCAAAAGAUCUGU